UGGAAGGCAUCUCGCUGUCGGCUAAAAUCCGCAGUAAUAUCUCCGUCCCAUCGGCUUACUCUCAACCCAACGCGUUGGCUUCGUACACACACACAAACACGUUUGCACAUUCACGCAUACUACACCCGGUGGACGACGCGCAGCCUGCACCAAUUCACUCACACUCUCGUUCGAUGGCCCCAUCGCACUUCGUUUCACACACACUAUCCACCGCUAGCGCGCGCACAUCAUAUUACAAAACGAGAGAGAGAGAGAGCAAGAGAGCGCGACCGAGAGUUAACCAGCUUCAACAGCAAAAAUUGCUCUCUCGUAACAGCGGAAAAAAAAACAAAAAGAAGCAAAGAAGACAUCCGAAUGAAGGCAAAGGACUGUCGGAUCCACAACGUUGCUGGUAGCGAUAAAGCGGAAGGUUAGCCUGGACGAGCAAAUCAACGUUUAACACCCUUGGCCUUAAAUUGCAAUCCAAUAGAAACUAUUUCCAUUCUAAUGCUGUUUUUCCUCACCGUUCACGCGCACUAGUUCUUCUUGCUUAGAUAGGGACUAAACCUGAAAACGCUGGUAGUUUUCAGCGCGCUGACUAUCCCAAGGUGUGUACAUAUUCAAAAAGGACUAACGGUUUUAAUAAGCAGCACUCAACCGUUUGGUCGAUGCGGCCGCCCGACCGAGUGCAAUUCAAAGCACGUCUACUGCAGGCACAAAACACGGAUGAUAUAUAUGUAAGUGAAGAAUGCUGGGGGGGUCAUACGGUUGAGCGGCUAUUGAGGUGACUGAGGUAUCUGUAAAUGGUUCAAAUUAAACACCUCGGUCUAUUGAAAUCAUUCCGAACCAUAUAUUUACAAAUAAAUUAUUUCGUUAAAUCAUCAGCUUA
Molecule: long non-coding RNA, 868 nt
Organism: Anopheles stephensi (Asian malaria mosquito)
Lineage: Eukaryota; Metazoa; Arthropoda; Insecta; Diptera; Culicidae
Exons: 2
Source: RefSeq, a predicted model, not a curated record